Molecule: ribosomal RNA, 500 nt
Filed under: uncultured bacterium
Lineage: Bacteria
Description: partial 16S ribosomal RNA
Rfam family: Bacterial small subunit ribosomal RNA
Source: RNAcentral
AUUGAACGCUGGCGGCAGGCCUAACACAUGCAAGUCGAGCGGAUGAGAGGAGCUUGCUCCUUGAUUCAGCGGCGGACGGGUGAGUAAUGCCUAGGAAUCUGCCUGGUAGUGGGGGACAACGUUUCGAAAGGAACGCUAAUACCGCAUACGUCCUACGGGAGAAAGCAGGGGACCUUCGGGCCUUGCGCUAUCAGAUGAGCCUAGGUCGGAUUAGCUAGUAGGUGGGGUAAUGGCCCACCUAGGCGACGAUCCGUAACUGGUCUGAGAGGAUGAUCAGUCACACUGGAACUGAGACACGGUCCAGACUCCUACGGGAGGCAGCAGUGGGGAAUAUUGGACAAUGGGCGAAAGCCUGAUCCAGCCAUGCCGCGUGUGUGAAGAAGGUCUUCGGAUUGUAAAGCACUUUAAGUUGGGAGGAAGGGCAGUUAGUUAAUACCUGACUGUUUUGACGUUACCAACAGAAUAAGCACCGGCUAACUCUGUGCCAGCCGCCGCGGUAA